RNAcentral lists this transfer RNA (67 nucleotides) under human gut metagenome. It matches the Rfam family "tRNA". Rfam says of the family: Transfer RNA (tRNA) molecules are approximately 80 nucleotides in length. Their secondary structure includes four short double-helical elements and three loops (D, anti-codon, and T loops). The record is from RNAcentral.
CGGGUGUAGCUCAAUGGUAGAGCGUCGGCUUCCCAAGCCGGUAACGUGGGUGCGAUUCCCAUCACCC